Oxyura jamaicensis (ruddy duck) is the source of this 1812-nucleotide long non-coding RNA. RefSeq lists it as uncharacterized. NCBI's taxonomy places the organism in Eukaryota, Metazoa, Chordata, Aves, Anseriformes, Anatidae. The transcript is spliced from 5 exons. The record is from RefSeq and is a predicted model, not a curated record.
AAUCGAUGCACCCCCUGUGUGGGGCCCACACAGAAUCCUACUCUGGGCUUUCUUGCAUGACCCCAAGGGCUACACUUAUCUUCACAGCAUCCCUGAAACUCAGAGUACAAACCUUGCUUCUCUGAAUUCACUCACUUACCAGGACACUGAGCCAGCAAAUCAGAUGCACACAACUCGCCUGUCUGUGCUGCCUCCAAGCUCUGCCUUCCUGCAACAUGUGCUCUUCUCUCCAAGGUCAGAGCAGAGUGGCUCUCGUCCUGACUCAGGGGUAAUGGGACUCCUACUGCCACCACUGCAGUUACAUCUGCUGGACAAGAGGAUCUCAACUGCAGCCCAAUGAAACCAAUGGAGAAUUACUUGCAUUUGCUGAUGGGUUUUCACUACAACGGAGGGAAUACUUUGCAAAUGGAGCUUGUACCAUUCUGGACAAAGCUGGGACAAUGUAAGGUCCUGGGAUGCCAAAAAGAAUGUUUUAUCCUUCAUUUGAAACAGAUACUGUAUUUAUAAAGGAGAAAUAACAGGUUGAUAAGGAUUUUGCUUAGAAAUCAGGGAGUGAUGAAGUGUCUGAGAGAGGUGUGCUUAUUUCAACAGAUCUUGAUUUAAAGCAGAUCAAAAUCUUUGGCUGAGCAGCCCAGCACCUAACCACACACAAGCUGAGGAAGCUGCAUGCCGCAUGGGUACUGUGUGUUAGCAUUCCAGCUCCUGCUCCCAGACAAAAGCAGCUUUCAUUUAAACUGAGAGGUAUUGAGUAACAAGCCUCUGCACAGCACAACAAACUGAACACAACUGUCUCAAGUGAGACUCUAUUAAAGCAUGGGAAAUUUGCCACCUCCCCAGGAUUUAUCAUUUUAAUUGGAACAAGACAGAUUCCAUCAAUGAUGACUGAACAGAGCAUCAAGAAGUAUGUCUUUAGCAGCUGUUAUUAUGCAGGAGAGAUGAGAGCUAAAGUAGGGGCAGAAACUCUUUUCAGUGUAAACAGAUAGCCAUCUAAUCUGUAGAAGACAGGCAGGAGAAGAAGGGAAACAGGAUCUUUCAGAUAUAAUUAAUACUGAAAAAGCAAAAUAAUGUCUUUUCCAAUGACCUUAUAUGGCCACAGCAAGCUUUGGUUGCCUUUAACAAAUCUUUCUGCUAGUACUUCAGUAACUUCCCUCCAAUUCUUGUUGGCCUAUUUGAACAAGAAUCUUCAAAGAUUCAUUCUUUGACCUUCCCAGGUGCUGUUCUUUUAGAAUUUCUUUUUAUAAGCAGCAAGUUAAGUAGGGAUGAAAGAGGACCACCAUCAAGAAGGAAAAAAUAGCAUGCCUUGUUAUAUAUAUGGUAUUUUCAUGUUCUUAAAGUAAUUCAAUAUUGCACCCUCAAGAUUGACAUAAGAGACCAUAACAAUUAAGUUUAAGGUUAUAAUUUUAAUCAUAGAUGAAGCUUAAAGGCCAUUUUUUUCCAAUGUCUCAUAGUCUUUGUGGAAAUUACACAUUAUUGAGCAGAACAGCACAGUACUUAAAGCAGGUUAACUUUUAAUGCAAACCUGUUUUCUGCUGUCCAAAAGGUCUUUACUAAACUGAAGAUCACUAUUCCAUUCUCUGAAUACAUACUGAUUUCAGAGCAGACAAUAUAAGAUUAGGGACCUAGCCAUAGGAGUGCAGUAAAUAAAACAAAACAAAACAUAACAAAACAAAACAUGUCUCGAACAUAGGCUUCCACUUCAGGACACAGGGAGAUGGACAUACCUGUAGAGGUAAUCUAAAAAAUACUUAUCAGACAUUCAUCUUGAAAUCCCCCAUAGAACAGCAAUGGUCAGCAAUGACUGAAAGACAAAUA